GUUUUCAGGAAGAAUUGAGGUUACCUUGAAUGCUGUGAAGUAAUAGGAACCCCAUCAUUCCUCUGAGGAAAUGUACAUGAAAAUGAAGCUACACCAUCGUAGUGGGAUGGUCGCUCAUUACAUGAGGUAUGCCUCAGUCUGUGGGCUUUUAGCUUUCUGCUGGCUGCAGUAAGUGAUCGUCAUUCCAAAUUCCUAAAGUGCCAAUGACAGUGAAGGCCAUGUUUGAGAUCAUUGUCAGAUCUGCAGGGACUAUAAACCUUGGACUGAAAAGGAUGGAGAGGUGAGACUGUGUCCCAUUCUCACAGAGGCUGCCUGGCAUCCACCCUCAGUGCAAGCACUGAGUGCUCAUUGGUUAGAAUUGCCUCUCUGAAUGUUGUAUUGGAAACUCAUCCCCUUUUCCGGUGCCAAGGAAGAAGCAGAGAUCGGAACACCAUUCCUUAAAGGAGCUGAGCUCCUCUAGGAGGUCAAAGUCUCCAGUACUGUCCACUGAUAACACAGCAGUGAUGUUUUAUGUGAACAGGCAGGAAGAGGCUGCAUGAGACUUUGUAAAGAGAUUAGUGUUGUGGUUUUGGAUAUGAAUGAAUCUGCUGCUACUUCACACAUUUUUUCUCUCCUUGACACUGUUGUUGCUCCAAAGUGAUGUUAAUGGGAGUUCUGCAUGGAGCUUGAAGAACAAAUAGGAGUUCUGCAUGGAGCUUGAAGAACAUACAGUCCCAAAAGAGGCUUAAAAGUUGUGUCAGCUGGGCAAGGAGGAGACCUCAUCUAGCAGAGACCUCAGCCGAGGAGACUCAGAAUCCCAUAUGUGCCAUGAAGAGCUCUGCAGUUUAGGAUAGAGAGAAGGAACAUCUUCAAACUAACAUUGACUGAAAAUACUAUAGUGAAUAGUAGAUUCACUUUUCAUUUCAUUGAUGAGUCAUGAAUAACAUA
Long non-coding RNA from Mauremys mutica (yellowpond turtle), 927 nucleotides. RefSeq lists it as uncharacterized. NCBI's taxonomy places the organism in Eukaryota, Metazoa, Chordata, Testudines, Geoemydidae. The transcript has 5 exons. The record is from RefSeq and is a predicted model, not a curated record.